UAAAAAUCUUUAGUUCUCUUUGACAAUUGAGUCUAUCCUCAUUGGGACAGUUUCCAAGUCUACAUUUACAACAUCAAUAGGUCCAUCAUGUUAAAUAUCAAGUUCUAUUUCUCUGUUCUCCUGGCCCUCUCCUGGAUCGAUAGAAAAAUGAUUUUCUUUCUCGUCCUUAGGAUGAGAGUUAGAGGAUUCCCCAAAAACUUUAUUCCUUGUAGUUUGGAAAAGUGUUAAUAGAUAUACUGCACUCCGAUACGUGUGUAGACAUGAAACGACGAAAGGGAAAGGGAAAGGGAAAGGGAGAGGGUCCCAAAGCAGUGAUGAAAGACAAGAUAAGAGGAUAAUUGGAUAUGUGAAAUUAUAUAAUAUGAUGUGUCGUAUAUGUAUGAUCAAGCUCGUCCUAAAUUAAAGUCCCGUGGUUUUGGUGCCACAUGUUUUUCUCUUUGCCACUGGUUUUUCUUAGUUAUGUCCAUACUAUUCGAUGAUUCAUUCACUAGUGUCUUGCUCGUUUUGACACCGUA
This is a non-coding RNA of Arachis ipaensis, 515 nucleotides long. Lineage: Eukaryota; Viridiplantae; Streptophyta; Magnoliopsida; Fabales; Fabaceae. The record is from RefSeq and is a predicted model, not a curated record.